CCUACGGGUGGCAGCAGUGGGGAAUAUUGGGCAAUGGGCGCAAGCCUGACCCAGCAACGCCGCGUGAAGGAAGAAGGCUUGCGGGUUGUAAACUUCUUUUGUCAGGGAAGAGGAGAAGACGGUACCUGACGAAUAAGCCACGGCUAACUACGGGCCAGCAGCCGCGGUAAUACGUAGGUGGCAAGCGUUGUCCGGAUUUACUGGGUGAAAAGGGCGGGUAGCCGGGUUGACAAGUCAGAUGUGAAAUCCUGCGGCUUACCCGCAGAACGGCAUUUGAAACUGUUGAUCUUGAGUACUGGAGAGUCAGCUGGCCUUCCUCUUGUAGCGGUGACCUGCGUAGAUAUUAGGAGGAACACCAGUUGCGCAGGCGGUCUGCUGGACAGCACCUGACGGUGCGUCGCGAACGCGUGGGGCGCAAACAGGAUUAGAUACCCCUGUAGUC
Molecule: ribosomal RNA, 442 nt
Filed under: uncultured bacterium
Lineage: Bacteria
Description: partial 16S ribosomal RNA
Rfam family: Bacterial small subunit ribosomal RNA
Source: RNAcentral